Molecule: ribosomal RNA, 381 nt
Filed under: uncultured eukaryote
Lineage: Eukaryota
Description: partial 18S ribosomal RNA
Rfam family: Eukaryotic small subunit ribosomal RNA
Source: RNAcentral
CAAUAGCGUAUAUUAAAGUUGUUGCAGUUAAGAAGCUCAUAGUUGGAUUUCUGGUUGAAGCGACCGGUCGGGCGUUGAUUCGUCUGCACUGGAGUCGGUUUUGGCCAUCCUCUAGGAAAGUGCGUCUGGUAUUAAGUUAUCGGGCGUAUGAUCCUGGUCUUUUACUGUGAAAAAAUUAGAGUGUUUAAAGCAGGCCUUCGCCUUGAAUACAUUAGCAUGGAAUAAUAAGAUAGGACUUUGGUCUAUUUUGUUGGUUUGCAGACCGAAGUAAUGAUUAAUAGGGAUAGUUGGGGGUAUUUAUAUUCCGAUGUCAGAGGUGAAAUUCUUAGAUUUUCGGAAGAUAAACUUAUGCGAAAGCAUUUACCAAGGAUGUUUUCAUUA